UACGGAGGGUGCAAGCGUUAUCCGGAUUCACUGGGUUUAAAGGGAGCGUAGGUGGGCUGGUAAGUCAGUGGUGAAAUCCCCGAGCUUAACUUGGGAACUGCCAUUGAUACUGUCAGUCUUGAAUACUGUGGAGGCUAGCGGAAUAUGUCAUGUAGCGGUGAAAUGCUUAGAUAUGACAUAGAACACCAAUUGCGAAGGCAGCUGGCUACACAAAUAUUGACACUGAGGCUUGAAAGCGUGGGGAUCAAACAGG
RNAcentral lists this ribosomal RNA (253 nucleotides) under uncultured bacterium. RNAcentral's name for it is "partial 16S ribosomal RNA". It matches the Rfam family "Bacterial small subunit ribosomal RNA", at positions 524 to 776 of the family's 1533-position model. The record is from RNAcentral.